AGCAGUAGCCACGGGAAUACAGAGGGUGCGAGCGUUAAUCGGAUUUACUGGGCGUAAAGCGUGCGUAGGCGGCUUUUUAAGUCGGAUGUGAAAUCCCUGAGCUUAACUUAGGAAUUGCAUUCGAUACUGGGAAGCUAGAGUAUGGGAGAGGAUGGUAGAAUUCCAGGUGUAGCGGUGAAAUGCGUAGAGAUCUGGAGGAAUACCGAUGGCGAAGGCAGCCAUCUGGCCUAAUACUGACGCUGAGGUACGAAAGCAUGGGGAGCAAACAGGAUUAGAUACCCGUGUAGUCCCUGUCUCUUAUAA
This 303-nucleotide ribosomal RNA is filed under the name uncultured bacterium. RNAcentral describes it as "partial 16S ribosomal RNA". It matches the Rfam family "Bacterial small subunit ribosomal RNA", at positions 507 to 809 of the family's 1533-position model. The record is from RNAcentral.